This is a long non-coding RNA of Mauremys reevesii (Reeves's turtle), 428 nucleotides long. RefSeq lists it as uncharacterized. The transcript has 3 exons. Lineage: Eukaryota; Metazoa; Chordata; Testudines; Geoemydidae. The record is from RefSeq and is a predicted model, not a curated record.
CUUCUACUGAGUUACUGAAGCGAUCUGGAGGUUAGAAAGGUGUCACGUGACAGGAACAAGCCAAAUCCACCGUGAGCAGGGUAAACGCUACCGGAGGGUAUUAGCUGUUACAUGGUUCCUGUAUUCACCCAUCAUUGUGGUGACUUUUGCCCCCUGAAGAUCUGGAAACAAUAUAUUUAACCACGAAGGCUCCAGAAAUCCUGCUUUGGACAGCAACAGCAUUUCUAUCUUUGAGUUCCAGCCAGGGACAAGGCAGUGUCACGCAAACACAAGGAGAGCUGGAAAAGUUGGGGGUUCAGACUGUCACCCUGGAGUGUACUUUCUCCACUGGAUACAAGUAUUAUUACUUAUUUUGGUACAGACAGCAACGAUCAGGAGCAAUGGAUUUCCUCUUCCGAAUAUUUCAGAAUAACGCUAAAAAGAACGGA